AGCUUUGCGCAGUGGCGAUAUCGUAACCAAUGAGGUACAACCGAGGUGCGAUUAUUACUAGUUGAAAACUAAUUAAAUAAAUAUAAAGAGGCUAACACUCCUUCAAACUACACCAUUAAAUAUUGGCUAUUUCGUGGUAACCGAAA
Molecule: small nuclear RNA, 146 nt
Organism: Malaya genurostris
Lineage: Eukaryota; Metazoa; Arthropoda; Insecta; Diptera; Culicidae
Product: U4 spliceosomal RNA
Exons: 1
Source: RefSeq, a predicted model, not a curated record